Molecule: long non-coding RNA, 395 nt
Organism: Lolium rigidum
Lineage: Eukaryota; Viridiplantae; Streptophyta; Magnoliopsida; Poales; Poaceae
Exons: 3
Source: RefSeq, a predicted model, not a curated record
GAUAUCGAAUAGCUGCACAAAUGUUUCCUUCUUUUGAAAAGGUUCUCGUCAGCAUCUGAGCUUUUUCUGGAAUUGCACAAUAGCAUUCUUCCUUUGCUACAGGAUUCUAUUAGUCAGCAUUAUGGUGGGGUAUUACGUCUCUAGCAUGAAAUUCAGCUCGUACAGACCAUAUAGUGAUAGGAAGGAUGGAGAUGGGCACUGGACGGCUGGAGCAUCAAUGGUAAAUGGUGUUAGUUCGAAAUCUGACACCGUCAUGUUCUGUACCCAAGAGUGUAAUUGGCUCUUCUAGUCAGUGUUUUGAAUGCCAGUGCUGUGGGUUCGUCAUGGACAAAAGGAAAUCGUGUACGCCUGUAAAUAUUACUUCUACACGAUUGACACCAUGAGCCCUCAUUUUG